This 86-nucleotide transfer RNA is filed under the name Phycisphaerae bacterium. Its description in RNAcentral is "tRNA-Leu". It matches the Rfam family "tRNA". From Rfam's summary of the family: Transfer RNA (tRNA) molecules are approximately 80 nucleotides in length. Their secondary structure includes four short double-helical elements and three loops (D, anti-codon, and T loops). The record is from RNAcentral. Lineage: Bacteria; Pseudomonadati; Planctomycetota; Phycisphaerae.
GCCGGAGUGGCGGAACUGGCAGACGCGCAGGAUUCAAAAUCCUGUGGGGUUCACACCUCGUGUGGGUUCGACUCCCACCUCCGGCA